Molecule: ribosomal RNA, 496 nt
Filed under: uncultured bacterium
Lineage: Bacteria
Description: partial 16S ribosomal RNA
Rfam family: Bacterial small subunit ribosomal RNA
Source: RNAcentral
GAUGAACGCUGGCGGCGUGCCUAAUACAUGCAAGUCGAGCGAACGGACGAGAAGCUUGCUUCUCUGAUGUUAGCGGCGGACGGGUGAGUAACACGUGGAUAACCUACCUAUAAGACUGGGAUAACUUCGGGAAACCGGAGCUAAUACCGGAUGAUAUUUUGAACCGCAUGGUUCAAAAGUGAAAGACGGUCUUGCUGUCACUUAUAGAUGGAUCCGCGCUGCAUUAGCUAGUUGGUAAGGUAACGGCUUACCAAGGCAACGAUGCAUAGCCGACCUGAGAGGGUGAUCGGCCACACUGGAACUGAGACACGGUCCAGACUCCUACGGGAGGCAGCAGUAGGGAAUCUGCCGCAAUGGGCGAAAGCCUGACGGAGCAACGCCGCGUGAGUGAUGAAGGUCUUCGGAUCGUAAAACUCUGUUAUAGGGAAGAACAUAUGUGUAAGUAACUGUGCACAUCUUGACGGUACCUAAUCAGAAAGCCACGGCUAACUACGUG